CCUACGGGCGGCUGCAGUGAGGAAUAUUGGUCAAUGGACGAGAGUCUGAACCAGCCAAGUAGCGUGAAGGAUGACUGCCCUAUGGGUUGUAAACUUCUUUUAUAUGGGAAUAAAACGUUCCACGUGUGGGAUUUUGUAUGUACCAUAUGAAUAAGGAUCGGCUAACUCCGUGCCAGCAGCCGCGGUAAUACGGAGGAUCCGAGCGUUAUCCGGAUUUAUUGGGUUUAAAGGGAGCGUAGGUGGAUUGUUAGUCAGUUGUGAAAGUUUGCGGCUCAACCGUAAAAUUGCAGUUGAAACUGGCAGUCUUGAGUACAGUAGAGGUGGGCGGAAUUCGUGGUGUAGCGGUGAAAUGCUUAGAUAUCACGAAGAACUCCGAUUGCGAAGGCAGUUCACUGGACUGCAACUGACACUGAGGCUCGAAAGUGUGGGUAUCAAACAGGAUUAGAUACCCUUGUAGUC
This 459-nucleotide ribosomal RNA is filed under the name uncultured bacterium. RNAcentral's name for it is "partial 16S ribosomal RNA". It matches the Rfam family "Bacterial small subunit ribosomal RNA", at positions 338 to 795 of the family's 1533-position model. The record is from RNAcentral.